CCUACGGGUGGCAGCAGUGAGGAAUAUUGGUCAAUGGACGAGAGUCUGAACCAGCCAAGUCGCGUGAAGGAUGACUGCCCUAUGGGUUGUAAACUUCUUUUAUAAAGGAAUAAAACGAGGCACGUGUGCCUUUUUGCAUGUACUUUAUGAAUAAGGAUCGGCUAACUCCGUGCCAGCAGCCGCGGUAAUACGGAGGAUCCGAGCGUUAUCCGGAUUUAUUGGGGUUAAAGGGGGCGUAGAUGGGUUGUUAAGUCAGUGGUGAAAGUUUGCGGCUCAACCGUAAAAUUGCAAUUGAUACUGGCAGUCUUGAGUACAGUUGAGGUAGGCGGAAUGCGUGGUGUAGCGGUGAAAUGCUUAGAGAUCACGAAGAACUCCGAUUGCGAAGGCAGCUCACUGGACUGCAACUGACACUGAGGCUCGAAAGUGUGGGUAUCAAACAGGAUUAGAUACCCGAGUAGUC
Molecule: ribosomal RNA, 460 nt
Filed under: uncultured bacterium
Lineage: Bacteria
Description: partial 16S ribosomal RNA
Rfam family: Bacterial small subunit ribosomal RNA
Source: RNAcentral